RNAcentral lists this transfer RNA (84 nucleotides) under Heliconius melpomene (postman butterfly). RNAcentral's name for it is "tRNA HMEL013782". It matches the Rfam family "tRNA". From Rfam's summary of the family: Transfer RNA (tRNA) molecules are approximately 80 nucleotides in length. The record is from RNAcentral. Lineage: Eukaryota; Metazoa; Arthropoda; Insecta; Lepidoptera; Nymphalidae.
GUCAGGUUGGCCGAGUGGUCUAAGGCGCCAGAUUUAAGCUCUGGUUCCCGAGGGGGAGCGUGGGUUCGAACCCCACACCUGACA